This is a long non-coding RNA of Gasterosteus aculeatus aculeatus (three-spined stickleback), 602 nucleotides long. The record is from Ensembl. Lineage: Eukaryota; Metazoa; Chordata; Actinopteri; Perciformes; Gasterosteidae.
CAUUCUGCCCUUUUCGAUGCUCCUUUUCUCUUCUCAUUUAAGUACCAGGAGGAGCUCUUCUUUCUGAGGGUGAACAAGAUCACCUGAUUCCUCCACCUCGCGGUGCCUUUUGGAGAGUGACUUCUUUGUUGCUGCUGGCUGAAUGAUUGCUCAUUCAUUCCUCCAUGAUGGGCCGGGCCUUGGAGGACUCAGCCCAGCUGUUCUGCAUGUGCUCUUUGGUGGAAGCCCAGAAGAAGUCAUGAUGAACAUAUCAAGGACUGUGCUGACCUCGAUAUCCGCAAGACAGUCAAAGUGCUGGAGGGUACAGAAGAAUUGUCAUCUGAAGGAAAGAACAAUACCAAUGAGUUGUCACUGUCUUGGGAUUUGCCUCAAGUCACACAUGAGAACAGAAGAUGCUGCUGGACAAGCUGAUGCUCCACGCAAUGUUGGAACUUGGAAGAAGCUCAAGACGGGUUAAACAGUUACGAAGGGGCUUAAAAGAGACGCUGAUCUGGCCUUUGCUAACUGAGAGGAGAGACACAAUUCCCCUCCUCUUUCCAAGAGCAUGUGAUGUACAGCGCACACCACAGAGCACAACUUGUUGAAUUCAGCCCUUCACCCUU